CAGCCGCCACGGUAAUACGUAGGGUGCGAGCGUUAAUCGGAAUUACUGGGCGUAAAGCGUGCGCAGGCGGUUCGUUAAGACAGAUGUGAAAUCCCCGGGCUUAACCUGGGAACUGCAUUUGUGACUGGCGAGCUAGAGUAUGGCAGAGGGGGGUAGAAUUCCACGUGUAGCAGUGAAAUGCGUAGAGAUGUGGAGGAAUACCGAUGGCGAAGGCAGCCCCCUGGGACAACACUGACGCUGAAGCACGAAAGCGUGGGGAGCAAACAGGAUUAGAGACCCGCGUAGUCCCUGUCUCUUAUAC
RNAcentral lists this ribosomal RNA (301 nucleotides) under uncultured bacterium. Its description in RNAcentral is "partial 16S ribosomal RNA". It matches the Rfam family "Bacterial small subunit ribosomal RNA", at positions 509 to 807 of the family's 1533-position model. The record is from RNAcentral.